RNAcentral lists this small nucleolar RNA (91 nucleotides) under Chinchilla lanigera (long-tailed chinchilla). Its description in RNAcentral is "Small nucleolar RNA SNORD116 (ENSCLAG00000018693.1)". It matches the Rfam family "Small nucleolar RNA SNORD116". Rfam says of the family: HBII-85 is a member of the C/D class of snoRNAs, which contain the C (UGAUGA) and D (CUGA) box motifs. HBII-85 is encoded in a tandemly repeated array with another C/D snoRNA, HBII-52, in the Prader-Willi syndrome (PWS) region of chromosome 15. The record is from RNAcentral. Lineage: Eukaryota; Metazoa; Chordata; Mammalia; Rodentia; Chinchillidae.
GGAUUGAUGAUCACUCUCAUACAUAUAUUCCCUGGAAAGCUGAACAGAAGGAAUGAAAAAUCAAUACUGUCAUUCUCGUAGGACUGAGGCC